CUCGAGGACGCCGACGCCGGCGCCUGCGACUGCUGCGGGUGGUGCACCGGCAGCCUCCACUGCGUGAAGCUCUGCGACGCGGACGAGGACGACGAGGAGGAGGACGACGACGGCCCGACGUUCCGCUGCGCCCGCUGGUGGUGCGGCUGCCGCUGCGGAGGCGGUGGCGUGGACGACGCCGCCGCCGCAGCCUCCACCGUCACCGGCAACGCGGUCGACGCCUCGGCGCAGGGCGUGCCCGAGCCGCCGCCACCGCUCCCCGACACCACAUUGUUGUUGGGCGUCGCCGUCGGGCUCAGCGCAGGGUGCGUGCAGGUGCUGAAGAUGCCGCAGGAGAAGAGCGCACGCGGCGACGCCUUGAGCCUCGCCGCGCCUCCGCCCCCGGCCCCGGCUCCUCCUGUCUGCGCCGCGCGACUCAUCUCAAGGUCGCCGCCACGCUGAGCUGAUCCACCGACCCCGAGUGAAUUGAAUGCUCUGUGCCGCGGCUCUGAUUGCCCGCGCGCGCAGCCGAGCGGAUCCGCAUGCGCAGU
RNAcentral lists this unclassified non-coding RNA (530 nucleotides) under Zea mays. RNAcentral's name for it is "misc RNA Zm00001eb343450". Lineage: Eukaryota; Viridiplantae; Streptophyta; Magnoliopsida; Poales; Poaceae. The record is from RNAcentral.